This 336-nucleotide ribosomal RNA is filed under the name uncultured Glomus. RNAcentral's name for it is "eukaryotic LSU rRNA". The record is from RNAcentral. Lineage: Eukaryota; Fungi; Glomeromycota; Glomeromycetes; Glomerales; Glomeraceae.
CAGUUCGUACCGAAUGGGGUAAUCCAGCCCUUUUUGGGUGGCGGAUUAUGGCGGGUACGUGAAAAGAUUUCACGGUUGCAUAUUCGUGCCCUUUUGGGGUGUACUUGCUCGUAUGGGUAGGUUAACAUCAAUUUCGGUCGUCAUAAAAAUGGCGGGGAGGAAUGUAGCUUUGAUCUCGUAUUAAAGUGUUAUAGCCUCUGUUAGAUGUGAUGAUCGGGGUUGAGGAUUGCAACGAACCCUCUGGGCCACUCGUCUGGCCUCUGGUGGUCGCCCUGGUGCCGAAAGCUUGCUUACGGUCGUCAGAGUUUGGCUGCCAAAAGGUUAGAACGGGAUGAU